RNAcentral lists this ribosomal RNA (468 nucleotides) under uncultured bacterium. Its description in RNAcentral is "bacterial SSU rRNA". It matches the Rfam family "Bacterial small subunit ribosomal RNA", at positions 30 to 495 of the family's 1533-position model. The record is from RNAcentral.
AUUGAACGCUGGCGGCAUGCCUUACACAUGCAAGUCGAACGGCAGCACGGGAGCAAUCCUGGUGGCGAGUGGCGAACGGGUGAGUAAUAUAUCGGAACGUGCCCGGUCGUGGGGAUAACGUAGCGAAAGCUACGCUAAUACCGCAUACGAUCUACGGAUGAAAGCGGGGGAUCGCAAGACCUCGCGCGAUUGGAGCGGCCGAUAUCAGAUUAGGUAGUUGGUGAGGUAAAGGCUCACCAAGCCGACGAUCUGUAGCUGGUCUGAGAGGACGACCAGCCACACUGGGACUGAGACACGGCCCAGACUCCUACGGGAGGCAGCAGUGGGGAAUUUUGGACAAUGGGCGCAAGCCUGAUCCAGCAAUGCCGCGUGCAGGAUGAAGGCCUUCGGUGUAACUGCUUUGUACGGUAACGAAACGGUGAGCUCUAAUACAGUUUGCUAAUGACGGUACCGUAAGAAUAAGACACC